CUGUGAAUCAUCUGAAGAUGCUGUUAAAAUGCAAAAUAUGAGUCAGCAGGGCUGGGGCCUGAGAUUCUGCAUUUCUCUCAAGCUUCUAGAUGAUGCCCUU
This 100-nucleotide microRNA precursor is filed under the name Marmota monax (woodchuck). Lineage: Eukaryota; Metazoa; Chordata; Mammalia; Rodentia; Sciuridae. The record is from RNAcentral.